GAAGGGCUCCAAGGGGUCGCCGGGACCCUGGGCCCCAAGGGGACACAGGACCCCCAGGACCCCCAGGGCCACCGGGCCGCCCGGCGGAGCUGCGGGAGCCGCUGCCCAUGGGAGGGGGCCGCGAAGAGGCGCCGCGAGGCGG
This is a non-coding RNA of Chelonoidis abingdonii (Abingdon island giant tortoise), 142 nucleotides long. Lineage: Eukaryota; Metazoa; Chordata; Testudines; Testudinidae. The record is from RefSeq and is a predicted model, not a curated record.